UUGCAGGCCUUCCUUCAGAGUAUAAGACUACUAAAUCUCAGAUUCUCUCCAGUUUUGAGAUUUCCUCUUUGCAUGAAACAUUCACACGGGUCCUUUGUACAGAGAGUGCUCAAUCUUCACAGUCUGCCAGUAAUGCUCUUAUUAGCCGUAAUCAAAAUGGACAACAGGGUAAUAGAAGGGGAAGUAGAAGAGGAAUUACAGGCAACAAAGGUAAUCAGCGUAAUGGGGAGGCUAGUUCUAAUCAAG
This 246-nucleotide unclassified non-coding RNA is filed under the name Hevea brasiliensis (rubber tree). Lineage: Eukaryota; Viridiplantae; Streptophyta; Magnoliopsida; Malpighiales; Euphorbiaceae. The record is from RNAcentral.